AAAAAUAAAAAUACCUGGGUAGUAUAUAGUUAUUUUCUUGAAACCCAAAGAGUUUGGCGGUAUCUCAGUCUAGUUAGAGGAGCUUGUUCGGUAAUCGAUAAUCCGCGAAAAAUCUUACGCAUUUUUGUAGGCAGUUUAUAUACCGUCGUUAUUAGAUAAUGUUUAAAGGCUAAUAAUUAUCUAAAUAUAAUAAAAUAUAAGAUAUCAGAUCAAGGUGUAGCUAAUAAAUGCGAGUUGAAUGAGCUACAAUUUAAUAUUAUGAAAACGAAAAAUAAUUUAAAAUAGUUAUUGGAAGGUGGAUUUAAUAGUAAUUGAAAUUUAGUAGGUUUAAGUGAUAUAAGCUCUGGGAUAUGU
Molecule: ribosomal RNA, 354 nt
Filed under: Haptosquilla glyptocercus
Lineage: Eukaryota; Metazoa; Arthropoda; Malacostraca; Stomatopoda; Protosquillidae
Description: partial 12S ribosomal RNA
Source: RNAcentral